AAACAAAAUAAGUCAAAUCAAAAACUAUGAAGGACAUUGUGUUUGAGUGUGUGUGCGUGUGUGUGUCAAAGUGUGUGUGUGUGUGUGUGUGUGUGUGUGUGUGUG
Poecilia latipinna (sailfin molly) is the source of this 105-nucleotide long non-coding RNA. RefSeq lists it as uncharacterized. The record is from RefSeq and is a predicted model, not a curated record. Lineage: Eukaryota; Metazoa; Chordata; Actinopteri; Cyprinodontiformes; Poeciliidae. The transcript has 2 exons.